Molecule: ribosomal RNA, 855 nt
Filed under: uncultured bacterium
Lineage: Bacteria
Description: bacterial SSU rRNA
Rfam family: Bacterial small subunit ribosomal RNA
Source: RNAcentral
GGAUCCAGACUUUGAUUAUGGCUCAGGACGAACGCUGGCGGCGUGCUUAACACAUGCAAGUCGUACGAGACGAUUGAAAGCUUGCUUUUGAAAGUCGAGUGGCAAACGGGUGAGUAACGCGUAGACAACCUGCCGUAAAGAUGGGGACAACAGUCCGAAAGGACUGCUAAUACCGAAUGUUGUGGAACUUCCGCAUGGGAGCUCCACUAAAGAUGGCCUCUACUUGUAAGCUAUCGCUUUACGAUGGGUCUGCGUCUGAUUAGCUAGUUGGUGGGGCAACGGCCUACUAAGGCGACGAUCAGUAGCCGGUCUGAGAGGAUGAACGGCCACAUUGGAACUGAGACACGGUCCAGACUCCUACGGGAGGCAGCAGUGGGGAAUCUUCCGCAAUGGGCGCAAGCCUGACGGAGCAACGCCGCGUGAGUGAAGAAGGGUUUCGACUCGUAAAGCUCUGUUGUCGGGGACGAACGUGGAGAUGGUGAAUAACCAUUUCCAAUGACGGUACCUGACGAGGAAGCCACGGCUAACUACGUGCCAGCAGCCGCGGUAAUACGUAGGUGGCGAGCGUUGUCCGGAAUUAUUGGGCGUAAAGGGAGCGCAGGCGGGAGAUCAAGUCUAUCUUAAAAGUGGGGGGCUCAACCCCGUGAGGGGAUGGAAACUGGUCUUCUUGAGUGCAGGAGAGGAAAGCGGAAUUCCUAGUGUAGCGGUGAAAUGCGUAGAUAUUAGGAGGAACACCAGUGGCGAAGGCGGCUUUCUGGACUGUAACUGACGCUGAGGCUCGAAAGCGUGGGGAGCGAACAGGAUUAGAUACCCUGGUAGUCCACGCCGUAAACGAUGAAUGCUAGGUGUAGGAGG